CAGCAGCCGCGGUAAUACAGAGGGUGCGAGCGUUAAUCGGAUUUACUGGGCGUAAAGCGUGCGUAGGCGGCUUUUUAAGUCGGAUGUGAAAUCCCCGAGCUUAACUUGGGAAUUGCAUUCGAUACUGGGAAGCUAGAGUAUGGGAGAGGAUGGUAGAAUUCCAGGUGUAGCGGUGAAAUGCGUAGAGAUCUGGAGGAAUACCGAUGGCGAAGGCAGCCAUCUGGCCUAAUACUGACGCUGAGGUACGAAAGCAUGGGGAGCAAACAGGAUUAGAUACCCGGGUAGUCCCUGUCUCUUAUAC
This 301-nucleotide ribosomal RNA is filed under the name uncultured bacterium. RNAcentral's name for it is "partial 16S ribosomal RNA". It matches the Rfam family "Bacterial small subunit ribosomal RNA", at positions 509 to 807 of the family's 1533-position model. The record is from RNAcentral.